This 24-nucleotide non-coding RNA is filed under the name Arabidopsis thaliana (thale cress). The record is from RNAcentral. Lineage: Eukaryota; Viridiplantae; Streptophyta; Magnoliopsida; Brassicales; Brassicaceae.
GGUAUGCGGCUACGAGGCGACGGU